AGUAGUUGACUAUGGGCUCAGAACGAACGCUGGCGGCAGGCCUAACACAUGCAAGUCGAGCGCGCCCUUCGGGGUGAGCGGCGGACGGGUUAGUAACGCGUGGGAACGUACCCUUUGGUAGGGAAUAGCCACUGGAAACGGUGAGUAAUACCCUAUGAGCCCUUCGGGGGAAAGAUUUAUCGCCAAAGGAUCGGCCCGCGUUAGAUUAGGUAGUUGGUGGGGUAAUGGCCUACCAAGCCUACGAUCUAUAGCUGGUUUUAGAGGAUGAUCAGCAACACUGGGACUGAGACACGGCCCAGACUCCUACGGGAGGCAGCAGUGGGGAAUCUUGGACAAGUGGGGCAACCCUGAAUCCAGCCAUGCCGCGUGAGUGAAGAAGGCCUUAGGGUCGUAAAGCUCUUUCGCCUGUGAAGAUAAUGACGGUAGCAGGUAAAGAAACCCCGGCUAACUCCGUGCCAGCCGCCGC
Molecule: ribosomal RNA, 466 nt
Filed under: uncultured bacterium
Lineage: Bacteria
Description: bacterial SSU rRNA
Rfam family: Bacterial small subunit ribosomal RNA
Source: RNAcentral